RNAcentral lists this ribosomal RNA (497 nucleotides) under uncultured bacterium. RNAcentral's name for it is "partial 16S ribosomal RNA". It matches the Rfam family "Bacterial small subunit ribosomal RNA", at positions 28 to 507 of the family's 1533-position model. The record is from RNAcentral.
GACGAACGCUGGCGGCGUGCCUAAUACAUGCAAGUAGAACGCUGAAGAGAGGAGCUUGCUCUUCUUGGAUGAGUUGCGAACGGGUGAGUAACGCGUAGGUAACCUGCCUUGUAGCGGGGGAUAACUAUUGGAAACGAUAGCUAAUACCGCAUAACAAUGGAUGACACAUGUCAUUUAUUUGAAAGGGGCAAUUGCUCCACUACAAGAUGGACCUGCGUUGUAUUAGCUAGUAGGUGAGGUAAUGGCUCACCUAGGCGACGAUACAUAGCCGACCUGAGAGGGUGAUCGGCCAUACUGGGACUGAGACACGGCCCAGACUCCUACGGGAGGCAGCAGUAGGGAAUCUUCGGCAAUGGGGGCAACCCUGACCGAGCAACGCCGCGUGAGUGAAGAAGGUUUUCGGAUCGUAAAGCUCUGUUGUAAGUCAAGAACGGGUGUGAGAGUGGAAAGUUCACACUGUGACGGUAGCUUACCAGAAAGGGACGGCUAACUACGUG